RNAcentral lists this ribosomal RNA (427 nucleotides) under uncultured bacterium. RNAcentral describes it as "bacterial SSU rRNA". It matches the Rfam family "Bacterial small subunit ribosomal RNA", at positions 355 to 774 of the family's 1533-position model. The record is from RNAcentral.
UGGGGAAUUUUGGACAAUGGGCGCAAGCCUGAUCCAGCCAUGCCGCGUGCAGGAUGAAGGCCUUCGGGUUGUAAACUGCUUUUGUACGGAACGAAAAGGUGCCUUCUAAUAAAGGGCGCUCAUGACGGUACCGUAAGAAUAAGCACCGGCUAACUACGUGCCAGCAGCCGCGGUAAUACGUAGGGUGCGAGCGUUAAUCGGAAUUACUGGGCGUAAAGCGUGCGCAGGCGGUUUUGUAAGACAGAGGUGAAAUCCCCGGGCUCAACCUGGUAACUGCCUUUGUGACUGCAAGGCUGGAGUGCGGCAGAGGGGGAUGGAAUUCCGCGUGUAGCAGUGAAAUGCGUAGAUAUGCGGAGGAACACCGAUGGCGAAGGCAAUCCCCUGGGCCUGCACUGACGCUCAUGCACGAAAGCGUGGGGAGCAAACA